Molecule: ribosomal RNA, 274 nt
Filed under: uncultured bacterium
Lineage: Bacteria
Description: partial 16S ribosomal RNA
Rfam family: Bacterial small subunit ribosomal RNA
Source: RNAcentral
AUACGGAGGGUGCAAGCGUUACUCGGAAUCACUGGGCGUAAAGCGCGCGCAGGCGGUCUUUUAAGUUGGAUGUGAAAGCCUACGGCUCAACCGUAGAACUGCAUCCAAAACUAUUAGACUGGAGUGUGGGAGAGGAAGAUGGAAUUAGUUGUGUAGGGGUAAAAUCCGUAGAGAUAACUAGGAAUACCAAAAGCGAAGGCAAUCUUCUGGAACACUACUGACGCUGAGGCGCGAAAGCGUGGGGAGCAAACAGGAUUAGAAACCCUAGUAGUCC